UUUUGGAAUAAUAAAGUUAUUAGUACCAUCUUAUAAAGGAAAAUCAAGGUGAUUUACAUUUUCAUAGUAAUUAGUGCAAUACAAGCAGCCAAACUGGUGCAAAAGUACAUCAUCCAAGUAACUUACAUGGCUACUAUGUCAACAAAUUACAUGCCAAUUCAGAGAUUUUUCAAAAGUUAUGAGUAUUGCAGUAGUAUUGCCAAUACAUAUCAAAGAAGCAAUAGUUCAACAAGAACUCACCAAAAAACGCAUUGACAAUGUCUUCAAAAUAUAGCCAUUUGACCCAAGGAUCCUUUAGUUUUCUUCAAGAAUC
This 313-nucleotide long non-coding RNA is filed under the name Coffea arabica (coffee). RNAcentral's name for it is "long non-coding RNA (CARA_LNC003179)". Lineage: Eukaryota; Viridiplantae; Streptophyta; Magnoliopsida; Gentianales; Rubiaceae. The record is from RNAcentral.